RNAcentral lists this long non-coding RNA (747 nucleotides) under Drosophila guanche. The record is from RNAcentral. Lineage: Eukaryota; Metazoa; Arthropoda; Insecta; Diptera; Drosophilidae.
GGAACGGAUCAUGCAAAUUCUUUACAAAAAACAAAAUUAAGUAAUCGGCUAAAAUAAACCACUGUAAACGAGAACAGCCGGAAUGGUUGGUGGUGCAAUUGAUGUCAUCGAUAGAGGCAGCGACUGAGGACUGGCAUUGGGCAACUGCGAUUUGAAUCGCAAUGGCGUACUGGGCGAAAAAACCAAAUUGAAGUUGGCUACGUCUUUGGCCGACUACCAACUAACCCCACUGCUUUCCUCUCGCUUUCGAUCUCUCUCUCUCUCUCUGUCCGUUACCCGUUUGUGGUUUUACUGUUUCCCAGGCUUUUUUCAACGGUCGUUGGCUCCAGUGGCCUUCUCAUGCCCGUUGCCUGUUGCGGCUACUUGGUCUUCGCGUUCCCCCGCCGAAUUUUGCUUCCCUCUGGUUUAUGGUCAUCCUCCGUGUUUCUCUUUGUUUUGCGGACACAUGCCAGCCUCCGGCAGCCGCGCUUUUUUUUGGCAUCCUCCUCAUCCUGCCACUUUCGGCGCGGUUUAUGGUCCGCCAUUUGGCGUUUGGCCGCCUGCCGCCAGCCUCGGGCUUUAAUUUAGGGGUUCCACACACUCGUAUGUCCGUGGCUUCCUCACGCUGACUUCUUUGCGGUCUCUUCAGGGAUAGAGAGCCGAUUGAGGCCAUCCCAGACCUCUGAGUGCAUAUAGUUUUAAAAUCCAGAUUAAAAACCAUUUCAAAAUUCGAAAAUGUGGCAUAUCCCGAAAAAUGUGAAAUGUUUC